Molecule: ribosomal RNA, 383 nt
Filed under: uncultured bacterium
Lineage: Bacteria
Description: bacterial SSU rRNA
Rfam family: Bacterial small subunit ribosomal RNA
Source: RNAcentral
GACGAACGCUGGCGGCGUGCUUAACACAUGCAAGUCGAGCGGUAAGGCCCUUUCGGGGUACGACGAGCGGCGAACGGGUGAGUAACACGUGGGUGACCUGCCCUCAGCUCUGGGAUAAGCCUGGGAAACCGGGUCUAAUACUGGAUAUGACUCCAUGACGCAUGUUGUGGGGUGGAAAGCCUUGUGCGGCUGAGGAUGGGCCCGCGGCCUAUCAGCUUGUUGGUGGGGUGAGGCCUACCAAGGCGACGACGGGUAGCCGGCCUGAGAGGGCGACCGGCCACACUGGGACUGAGACACGGCCCAGACUCCUACGGGAGGCAGCAGUGGGGAAUCUUGCGCAAUGGGCGAAAGCCUGACGCAGCGACGCCGCGUGAGGGAUGAAC